GACGAACGCUGGCGGCGUGCUUAACACAUGCAAGUCGAACGGAAAGGCCCUGCUUUUGUGGGGUGCUCGAGUGGCGAACGGGUGAGUAACACGUGAGUAACCUGCCCUUGACUUUGGGAUAACUUCAGGAAACUGGGGCUAAUACCGGAUAGGAGCUCCUGCUGCAUGGUGGGGGUUGGAAAGUUUCGGCGGUUGGGGAUGGACUCGCGGCUUAUCAGCUUGUUGGUGGGGUAGUGGCUUACCAAGGCUUUGACGGGUAGCCGGCCUGGGAGGGUGACCGGCCACAUUGGGACUGAGAUACGGCCCAGACUCCUACGGGAGGCAGCAGUGGGGAAUAUUGCACAAUGGGCGGAAGCCUGAUGCAGCAACGCCGCGUGCGGGAUGACGGCCUUCGGGUUGUAAACCGCUUUCGCCUGUGACGAAGCGUGAGUGACGGUAAUGGGUAAAGAAGCACCGGCUAACUGCGUG
This 468-nucleotide ribosomal RNA is filed under the name uncultured bacterium. Its description in RNAcentral is "partial 16S ribosomal RNA". It matches the Rfam family "Bacterial small subunit ribosomal RNA", at positions 28 to 507 of the family's 1533-position model. The record is from RNAcentral.